UAACUCCCGCCGGCGACCGGCGCACGGGUGAGUAACACGUAUGAAACCUGCCCGUAGCAGGGGGAUAAGCGGAAGAAAUUCCGUCUAAUACCGCGUAACAACCCGAGGAGGCAUCUCCUCGGGUUUAAAGGAAGCGAUUCCGGCUACGGAUGGUCAUGCGUCGCAUUAGCUAGUUGGCGGGGUAACGGCCCACCAAGGCGACGAUGCGUAGGGGUUCUGAGAGGAAGGUCCCCCACACUGGUACUGAGACACGGACCAGACUCCUACGGAAGGCAGCAG
This 279-nucleotide ribosomal RNA is filed under the name uncultured bacterium. RNAcentral's name for it is "partial 16S ribosomal RNA". It matches the Rfam family "Bacterial small subunit ribosomal RNA", at positions 79 to 354 of the family's 1533-position model. The record is from RNAcentral.